RNAcentral lists this ribosomal RNA (465 nucleotides) under uncultured bacterium. Its description in RNAcentral is "partial 16S ribosomal RNA". It matches the Rfam family "Bacterial small subunit ribosomal RNA", at positions 28 to 506 of the family's 1533-position model. The record is from RNAcentral.
GAUGAACGCUGGCGGCGUGCUUAACACAUGCAAGUCGAACGAUGAAGCCCAGCUUGCUGGGUGGAUUAGUGGCGAACGGGUGAGUAACACGUGAGUAACCUGCCCUUAACUCUGGGAUAAGCCUGGGAAACUGGGUCUAAUACCGGAUAGGAGCGUCCACCGCAUGGUGGGUGUUGGAAAGAUUUAUCGGUUUUGGAUGGACUCGCGGCCUAUCAGCUUGUUGGUGAGGUAAUGGCUCACCAAGGCGACGACGGGUAGCCGGCCUGAGAGGGUGACCGGCCACACUGGGACUGAGACACGGCCCAGACUCCUACGGGAGGCAGCAGUGGGGAAUAUUGCACAAUGGGCGCAAGCCGGAUGCAGCGACGCCGCGUGAGGGAUGACGGCCUUCGGGUUGUAAACCUCUUUCAGUAGGGAAGAAGCGAAAGUGACGGUACCUGCAGAAGAAGCACCGGCUAACUACGU